AGACAUGCAUUUAAGAACUGAUUGUUGUUGCUUGCAGUGUUUGUGAAGAUGUGUUGAUGGACUUUGAUGCUCUUGUCGAGGCACAGACUGGUUUGGGAACAGCUGCUGUUAUAGUCAUGAACAAGCAGUGUGAUCUUAUCCUUGCUAUUGCCCGGCUUAUCGAGUUCUACAAACAUGAGAGCUGUGGUCAGUGCACACCCUGUAGGGAGGGCUGCAGUUGGAUGACUACAAUCAUGUACAGAUUUGGUGAGUUGACACUUCACGCAUGUUAAAAAGAGACGAAAUAGGCACUAGGCGAGCUGCGUUCAUCUGCUAGAAUUAUUUGAAAGAAAGGACUGUUUAUAGUGUAAACAAAAACAAGAUGAAUUAUCUUUUGUGGUAAAAUUCCUUGUUUUUUUUGAAUGAGAGAGUUCUUACUUGUAUGCUGGUUAAUCAAACUCUUAGGCUGAGGAAAUUAAGACAAAAAAAUAACAGGACGUGAGUUUGUCCCUUGACCUUGAAAUCCCAACCCUCCAAGUCGCGACCAUUUUAGUCGCCAUGGCGACUAGAAUUUUGGAGCUGGCGACUAAAUAUUAGAACGCAAGUCGCCAGCUCGGCGACUAAAAUUAACGUGACCUGUGCGUUAGGAGCUUGAGCGGACUAUCAUCCGGAGCGAAAAGAAAAACGUUCUGAGCAUUAAG
Molecule: long non-coding RNA, 680 nt
Organism: Orbicella faveolata
Lineage: Eukaryota; Metazoa; Cnidaria; Anthozoa; Scleractinia; Merulinidae
Source: RefSeq, a predicted model, not a curated record